UGCGAUUGAUUAAUUCAAAAUUCAAUUCAGAACAUAACAAGUAGUAUCAAGAGCAUAAUCUUAAAAGAAGACUGGCAAACUUGUAAACCCUAUCAUGGAUUGAACUAUGUCUAAUAAAGUCGAUUUCAAUAAGAGAAAAUUCUUAUUCUCUUCUAGAUAUGUUAAAAAACUCACUAAAAAGGCAUUCUCCUCUUUGGUCU
Molecule: long non-coding RNA, 200 nt
Filed under: Elaeis guineensis (African oil palm)
Lineage: Eukaryota; Viridiplantae; Streptophyta; Magnoliopsida; Arecales; Arecaceae
Description: long non-coding RNA (EGUI_LNC062496)
Source: RNAcentral